ACGGCUUUUAUCCGGGAAGAAGAGCAGGGAUGCGUCCCUGUGUGACGGUACCGGAUGAAUAAGCACCGGCUAACUCCGUGCCAGCAGCCGCGGUAAUACGGAGGGUGCGAGCGUUGUCCGGAUUUAUUGGGUUUAAAGGGUGCGUAGGUGGCUUUUUAAGUCAGUGGUGAAAUACAGCCGCUCAACGGUUGAGGUGCCAUUGAUACUGAAAAGCUUGAAACAAGUGGAGGCUGCCGGAAUGGAUGGUGUAGCGGUGAAUGCAUAGAUUCAUCCAGAACACCGAUUGCGAAGCAGGUGGCUACGUUUGAUUUGACACUGAGGCACGAAAGCAUGGAGAGCAACAGGAUUAGAUCCCUGGUAGCCAUGCCGUAACGAUGAGACUCGCUGUUGGCUG
RNAcentral lists this ribosomal RNA (394 nucleotides) under Dyadobacter hamtensis. RNAcentral's name for it is "bacterial SSU rRNA". It matches the Rfam family "Bacterial small subunit ribosomal RNA", at positions 429 to 829 of the family's 1533-position model. The record is from RNAcentral. Lineage: Bacteria; Pseudomonadati; Bacteroidota; Cytophagia; Cytophagales; Spirosomataceae.